UGUACUUACACCGACGCAUCUCGUUAUCGAUCGUACACAAGACCUUCUUCCCAAUAGCCUCCGAUUUCCGCCACGUGGCUAGCUGCGGGAGCAGGCUAAGCGAGCUCCGUCCAUCGCCGACUGGAGCUGAUCCACCUUCUUCUUCUUCUUCCUCCUCUUCCUCCUCGCAGAUCGCUGACACGAGCUGGAUCUGGUUCGUGAGAAGCGAAUCCAACCGUCGGUUCCAUUCGCGGUGGUUGAUGUACGGUCUGGUGUCGGAACAAACGGCUAAAACCAAUCGGAAAGUGAUCUCCAAGGCCUGGAGAGCCGGUUUGAGAAUCGGUUCAGGCGUCCAGGUAGGAAAAUCACGAGAUGACCAGAGCUUUCUAAGCUCCGGGAGGCGGAGGUAGAGCUCGUAGGCAGAGCAAGCGGCGGGUGCGGAGCAGGAGAUGGGAGAGGAGGAGACAGGGACCUUGAACGGAGACGGAAUAGUGACGUGGAGCUUUGAAGAAAGCUUAGGUGAGUUGCUUGGUAAAUCCGAUGAUACCAUCUUCGUCUUCCAAUCCAUAUCAACCAUUUUCUUCCUCUCUG
This 570-nucleotide long non-coding RNA is filed under the name Eutrema salsugineum. RNAcentral's name for it is "long non-coding RNA (ESAL_LNC001985)". Lineage: Eukaryota; Viridiplantae; Streptophyta; Magnoliopsida; Brassicales; Brassicaceae. The record is from RNAcentral.